UGUGCUUGAGGAAGCUUAUUGGAAAUCAGUAUUCCCCAACAAUCCAAUGCCAAAAGCUUUAAGAGAUAUUCUACCACCAUCUGGUUUGUAUUCAAUUUUUCCAAAUCACUAUUAACUUAUACAUACUAUAAAUAGGAUUAUCUUUGUGAUUCAAAUCUUCAAAAUAUACUUUUAGUGAACACCCAGAAUUGCUAAGUCAAGAGCUAGGGAGAAAAAAAUUAAAAAAAUAUAUUUUAUAGCAUUAAUAUUUGGUUCACCGAUAAUAUACUUUUUUUUUUCAUUCAGAUAGCAUUAAUGGAUCAAUUAAGGAUUCCAAUGCUAGCUACCAUGCAGGAAGUUAUAGAAAUGAACAAUCAAUCCAAGGUAAAUCAUUUUAUUUCCAUUAUAUGUACAUAUGUUAAUGUUUAGGUUUUCGAGAACAGAAUUCGACUAUUUAAGCCAAAUUAACUAAGCUUUAACAUUUAAAAUUUGAGUUUAAAUGUUUUUAGAUUAUUCAGGUAAUAGUACUGGACCAUCUAAGGAAUUUAGUGCUCCAAGCUCUCUAGGAGCCUACCAG
Molecule: long non-coding RNA, 556 nt
Filed under: Gossypium barbadense (sea-island cotton)
Lineage: Eukaryota; Viridiplantae; Streptophyta; Magnoliopsida; Malvales; Malvaceae
Description: long non-coding RNA (GBAR_LNC006783)
Source: RNAcentral